CAUGCCGUAAACGAUGAUUACUAAGUGUUGGAGGGUUUCCGCCCUUCAGUGCUGCAGCUAACGCAUUAAGUAAUCCGCCUGGGGAGUACGACCGCAAGGUUGAAACUCAAAAGAAUUGACGGGGGCCCGCACAAGCGGUGGAGCAUGUGGUUUAAUUCGAAGCUACGCGAAGAACCUUACCAGGUCUUGACAUCUUCUGCCAACCUAAGAGAUUAGGCGUUCCCUUCGGGGACAGAAUGACAGGUGG
This 247-nucleotide ribosomal RNA is filed under the name uncultured Pediococcus sp. RNAcentral describes it as "partial 16S ribosomal RNA". It matches the Rfam family "Bacterial small subunit ribosomal RNA", at positions 796 to 1041 of the family's 1533-position model. The record is from RNAcentral. Lineage: Bacteria; Bacillati; Bacillota; Bacilli; Lactobacillales; Lactobacillaceae.